UAGGGAAUCUUCGGCAAUGGACGAAAGUCUGACCGAGCAACGCCGCGUGAGUGAAGAAGGUUUUCGGAUCGUAAAACUCUGUUGUUAGAGAAGAACAAGGACGUUAGUAACUGAACGUCCCCUGACGGUAUCUAACCAGAAAGCCACGGCUAACUACGUGCCAGCAGCCGCGGUAAUACGUAGGUGGCAAGCGUUGUCCGGAUUUAUUGGGCGUAAAGCGAGCGCAGGCGGUUUCUUAAGUCUGAUGUGAAAGCCCCCGGCUCAACCGGGGAGGGUCAUUGGAAACUAGGAGUAUAGGGUGCAGAAGAGGAGGGUGGAAUUCCAUGUGUAGCGGUGAAAUGCGUAGAUAUAUGGAGGAACACCAGUGGCGAAGGCGGCUCUCUGGUCUGUAACUGACGCUGAGGCUCGAAAGCGUGGGGAGCAAACAGG
Molecule: ribosomal RNA, 429 nt
Filed under: Gemmatimonadota bacterium
Lineage: Bacteria; Pseudomonadati; Gemmatimonadota
Description: Gemmatimonadetes bacterium partial 16S ribosomal RNA
Rfam family: Bacterial small subunit ribosomal RNA
Source: RNAcentral